RNAcentral lists this transfer RNA (69 nucleotides) under Marmota monax (woodchuck). RNAcentral's name for it is "tRNA.Gly". Lineage: Eukaryota; Metazoa; Chordata; Mammalia; Rodentia; Sciuridae. The record is from RNAcentral.
GGAUUUAGCUCAGUGGUAGAGUUCUUGCCUGCCAUAUGUGAGUCCCUGGGUUUAAUCCCCAGUAUCACA